UCUCCGUAGGUGAACCUGCGGAGGGAUCAUUACAGAGUUCAUGCCCUCCGGGUAGAUCUCCCACCCAUUGCUCUAACUACUCUCGUUGCUUUGGCGGGCCGCUGGGCCCUUCCCGGCCGCCCGCCCCGGCUGGCGCGUGUCGGCCACAUACCUCACCAACCCUGUCUGCAAGUGUCGUCCGAGUAACCACACAAAUGUUAAAACUUUCAACAAGGGAUCGCUCGCUUCUGGCAUCGAUGAACAACCCAGCAGAUCGGAAGACCACACGUGCGAACACAA
RNAcentral lists this unclassified non-coding RNA (279 nucleotides) under plant metagenome. RNAcentral describes it as "partial contains small subunit ribosomal RNA, internal transcribed spacer 1, and 5.8S ribosomal RNA". The record is from RNAcentral.